This 253-nucleotide ribosomal RNA is filed under the name uncultured bacterium. Its description in RNAcentral is "partial 16S ribosomal RNA". It matches the Rfam family "Bacterial small subunit ribosomal RNA", at positions 524 to 776 of the family's 1533-position model. The record is from RNAcentral.
GACAGAGGGGGCAAGCGUUGCUCGGAAUCACUGGGCGUAAAGGGCGCGUAGGCGGGUUGGCAAGUCAGUCGUGAAAUCUCUCGGCUCAACCGAGAAACGUCGGCUGAUACUGCCGUUCUUGAGGGAUGCAGAGGAGACUGGAAUUCCCGGUGUAGCGGUGAAAUGCGCAGAUAUCGGGAGGAACACCAAUGGCGAAGGCAGCUCGCUGGGACGUUACUGACGCUGAGACGCGAAAGCGUGGGGAGCAAACAGG